AUGGAGAUCCGUCUGGAUCCUGAUCCCGGGAUCCCAAAUCCAGAUCGGGGUCCCCCAUUCCCGGCAGAAUUCCCGGGAUCCCAAAUCCGGAUCGGGAUCCCCCAUUCCCAGCAGAAUUCCCGGGAUCCCAAAUCCCCGGGAAGGGGAGGGAUCCGGGUCAGGGCCCCCAUUCCCGAUCCCGAGAUCCCAAGUCAGGAUCAGAGACCCUAUUCCCAGAAGAAUUCCCAGGAUCCCAAAUCCGGAUUGGGAUCCCCCAUUCCCAGCGGAAUUCCCGGGAUCCCAAAUCCCCAGGAAGGGGAGGGAUCCGGGUCAGGGCCCCCCAUUCCCGAUCCCGAGAUCCCAAAUCGGGAUCAGAGACCCCAUUCCAGAUCCGGGAAUACCAAAUCCAGAUCCAGGACCCCAUUCCCAAUCCCGGGAUCCCAAAUCCGGAUCAGGGUCCCCCAUUCCCAGCAGAAUUCCCAGGAUCCCAAAUCCCCGGGAAGGGCAGGGAUCCGGAUCAGGGCCCCCAUUCCCGAUCCCGAGAUCCCAAUUCCGGAUCAGAGACCCCAUUCCCAGUGGGAUCAUCCCAGUCCCAGGAUCCCAAAUCCCUGGGAAGAGCAGGGAUCCAGAUUGGGGACCCCAUUCCCAAUCCCGGGAUCCCAAAUCCAGAUGGGGGCCCCCAUUCCCGAUCCCGAAUCCCAAAUCCCUGGAAAAAAGAGGGAUCUGGAUCAGGGGUCCCAUUCCCAGUCCCGGGAUCCCAAAUCCCUGGGAAGAGGAGACCCCAUUCCCACUGGGAAUCUGGGCAUGGAGAUCCCUCUGGAUCCCGAUCCCGGGAUCGCAAAUCCGGAUCGGGAUCCCCCAUUCCCAGGAGAAUUCCCGGGAUCCCAAAUCCCCGGGAAGGGCAGGGAUCCGGAUCAGGGCCCCCAUUCCCGAUCCCGAGAUCCCAAUUCCGGAUCAGAGACCCCAUUCCCAGUGGGAUCAUCCCAGUCCCAGGAUCCCAAAUCCCUGGAAAAAAGCGGGAACCAGAUCAAGGGCCCCAUUCCAGAUCCGGGAAUCCCAAAUCCAGAUCCAGGACCCCAUUCCCGAUCCCGAGAUCCCAAAUCCGGAUCAGAGACCCCAUUCCCAGUGGGACUGUCCAAAUUCCAAGAUCCCAAAUCCCUGGAAAAAAAGGGACCCCAUUCCCAGUCCCAGGAUCCUAAAUCCCUGGGAAGAGGAGACCCCAUUCCCACUGGGAAUCUGGGCAUGGAGAUCCCUCUGGAUCCUGAUCCCGGGAUCCCAAAUCCAGAUCGGGGUCCCCCAUUCCCGGCAGAAUUCCCGGGAUCCCAAAUCCGGAUCGGGAUCCCCCAUUCCCAGCGGAAUUCCCGGGAUCCCAAAUCCCCAGGAAGGGCAGGGAUCCGGGUCAGGUCCCCCAUUCCCAAUCCCGAGAUCCCAAUUCCGGAUCAGAGACCCCAUUCCCAGUGGGAUCAUCCCAGUCCCAGGAUCCCAAAUCCCUGGAAAAAAGCGGGAACCAGAUCAAGGGCCCCAUUCCAGAUCCGGGAAUCCCAAAUCCAGAUCCAGGACCCCAUUCCCGAUCCCGAGAUCCCAUAUCCGGAUCAGAGACCCCAUUCCCAGUGGGACUGUCCAAAUUCCAAGAUCCCAAAUCCCUGGAAAAAAAGGGACCCCAUUCCCAGUCCCAGGAUCCUAAAUCCCUGGGAAGAGGAGACCCCAUUCCCACUGGGAAUCUGGGCAUGGAGAUCCCUCUGGAUCCUGAUCCCGGGAUCCCAAAUCCGGAUCAGAGACCCCAUUCCCAGCAGAAUUCCCGGGAUCCCAAAUCCCCGGGAAGGGGAGGGAUCCGCAUCAGGGACCCCAUUCCCGAUCCACGGAUCCCAAAUCCAGAUCCGGGACCCCAUUCCCAGUGGGACUGUCCAAAUUCCAAGAUCCCAAAUCCCUGGAAAGAGAGGGAUCCGGGUCAGGAUCCGCAUCCCCAAUCCUGGGAUCCCAAAUCCAGAUCUGGGACCCAUUCCCAGAUCCAGGAAUCCCAAAUCCCUGGGAAGAGCAGGGAUCCAGAUCAAGGACCCCAUUCCCAAUCCCGGGCUUCCAAAUCCCUGGGAAGAGCAGGGAUCCAGAUUGGGGACCCCAUUCCCGGCAGAAUUCCCAGGAUCCCAAAUCCCUGGGAAAAAAGGGACCCCAUUCCCGAUCCCAGGAUCCAAAAUCCAGAUGGGGGCCCCCAUUCCUGAUCCCGAAUCCCAAAUCCCUGGAAAAAAGAGGGAUCCGGAUCAGGGGCCCCAUUCCCAAUCCCGGGAUCCCAAAUCCAUGGGAAAAAAGGGACCCCAUUCCCACUGGGAAUCUGGGCAUUGA
Long non-coding RNA from Cyanistes caeruleus (blue tit), 2316 nucleotides. The record is from Ensembl. Lineage: Eukaryota; Metazoa; Chordata; Aves; Passeriformes; Paridae.